This 503-nucleotide ribosomal RNA is filed under the name uncultured bacterium. RNAcentral describes it as "partial 16S ribosomal RNA". It matches the Rfam family "Bacterial small subunit ribosomal RNA", at positions 30 to 523 of the family's 1533-position model. The record is from RNAcentral.
AUUGAACGCUGGCGGCAGGCUUAACACAUGCAAGUCGAGCGGGGUGAUGGUGCUUGCACUAUCACUUAGCGGCGGACGGGUGAGUAAUGCUUAGGAAUCUGCCUAUUAGUGGGGGACAACAUCUCGAAAGGGAUGCUAAUACCGCAUACGUCCUACGGGAGAAAGCAGGGGAUCACUUGUGACCUUGCGCUAAUAGAUGAGCCUAAGUCGGAUUAGCUAGUUGGUGGGGUAAAGGCCUACCAAGGCGACGAUCUGUAGCGGGUCUGAGAGGAUGAUCCGCCACACUGGGAACGAGAAACGGCCCAGACUCCUACGGGAGGCAGCAGUGGGGAAUAGUGGACAAUGGGGGGAACCCUGAUCCAGCCAUGCCGCGUGUGUGAAGAAGGCCUUAUGGUUGUAAAGCACUUUAAGCGAGGAGGAGGCUCUUUUGGUUAAUACCCAAGAUGAGUGGACGUUACUCGCAGAAUAAGCACCGGCUAACUCUGUGCCAGCCGCCGCGGUAA